This 254-nucleotide ribosomal RNA is filed under the name uncultured bacterium. Its description in RNAcentral is "partial 16S ribosomal RNA". It matches the Rfam family "Bacterial small subunit ribosomal RNA", at positions 524 to 776 of the family's 1533-position model. The record is from RNAcentral.
UACGAAGGGGGCUUGCGUUGCUCGGAAUCACUGGGCGUAAAGCGCACGUAGGCGGGCUCUUAAGUCGGUGGUGAAAUCCUGGAGCUCAACUCCAGAACUGCUUCCGAUACUGAGAGUCUUCGAGUCCGGGAGAGGUGAGUGGAACUGCGAGUGUAGAGGUGAAAUUCGUAGAUAUUCGCAAGAACACCAGUGGCGAAGGCGGCUCACUGGCCCGGUACUGACGCUGAGGUGCGAAAGCGUGGGGAGCAAACAGG